RNAcentral lists this ribosomal RNA (408 nucleotides) under uncultured bacterium. Its description in RNAcentral is "partial 16S ribosomal RNA". It matches the Rfam family "Bacterial small subunit ribosomal RNA", at positions 28 to 526 of the family's 1533-position model. The record is from RNAcentral.
GACGAACGCUGGCGGCGUGCUUAACACAUGCAAGUCGAACGGAGUGGCGAACGGGUGAGUAACACGUGGGUGACCUGCCCUGCACUUCGGGAUAAGCCUGGGAAACUGGGUCUAAUACCGGAUAGUGUGGGAUGGGCCCGCGGCCUAUUAGCUUGUUGGUGGGGUAAUGGCCUACGAAGGCGGCGACGGGUAGCCGGCCUGAGAGGGUGGACGGCCACAUUGGGACUGGGAAGCGGCCCAGACUGCGACGGGGGACAGCGGUGGGGAAUAUUGCGCGAUGGGCGGAAGCGUGAUGCAGCGACGCCGCGUGGGGGAUGACGGCCUUCGGGUUGUAACCUCCUUUCACCAUCGACGCGGUAGAUGGAGAAGAAGCACCGGCUAACUACGUGCCAGCAGCCGCGGUAAUUC